GGCCAGGACGGAAGGCGGGAGGAACGCGGCGGUCACCCCCGACCGGCGGCGGCUUGCGGGGCUCUGCCGCAGCAUGAUCGCGUGUGGGUCUCCCAGGAGCCCUGUGAGCAGAGACGGAAAGGAGAAGGGAAGCUUCUCUGAGUCUGGCUCCAGCCGUCCUCUUUCACAUGCGCUGUCUGCUUAAACUUCCCAACGCCGCGCGGUAAGGAGGUAUCUCCGCCUCCGCUUGCACAGAGAAGCAAGCCCCGGCCGAGAUGACGGCAGAGGAGGGACUGACACAAGGUGUCAUCAACACCACAGCAUCCUCAUCUCCAGGCGCUGUCCUUGGAGCAGCUUCCGGGAGCAGGCAAGUUGGACCAGUGCCAGGCAGGAGGACAGGCACUGCCUGUGGCCCCCGAGCUGAACCCCACCUGCUGAGACAUGGCCUCCGUCACAACCUCGGCCACUGCCGGUG
This is a long non-coding RNA of Mustela erminea (ermine), 454 nucleotides long. RefSeq lists it as uncharacterized. Lineage: Eukaryota; Metazoa; Chordata; Mammalia; Carnivora; Mustelidae. The record is from RefSeq and is a predicted model, not a curated record. The transcript has 3 exons.